This is a long non-coding RNA of Oreochromis aureus, 1284 nucleotides long. RefSeq lists it as uncharacterized. The record is from RefSeq and is a predicted model, not a curated record. The transcript has 2 exons. NCBI's taxonomy places the organism in Eukaryota, Metazoa, Chordata, Actinopteri, Cichliformes, Cichlidae.
CCUAAGCAUCCCAGAAACGACACAGAAAGUCAUAAAGUCAAACAUAACUUUUAAAAACACAAGUAUAGGCUCAUAAGCCCCUGAUGGUAAAAGAAACUACAUUUCCGCAAAAUGACGUCACGUCCGGUUUCGGGCAGAUCACGGUGGACAUGCGAUAGUUACGCUGAUGGAGUAGGAAGUGUUACAAACAGCUGAUCGGAUCGGCAAAGCGUGUUUCUGGAAUAUUUUGUUUUUGUUGCUGCAAGCGCUUUUUAUGCAGUUUUUGCAAAGCUAUAUGUGGAAGGAAACCGUGACCUAGGACAAGCUGAUGGCAUAAAAUAUUUGUGGAGGGGAAUUGGAAGCAGGAAAUCGCUGCACGUCAGCAGGUGAAAAGAAAAGAGAGGGAGGAAGUUAAGUUGGACGUGUGUGUGUGUGUGUGUCACAGAGAUCACACAGCUGAGGCAUGUGGAGGUGUACAGCACAUAGGUGUUUUGACUGACAGCUUCUAGCUGUAAUCACGUGUAUGAUUGUUUCCACAUGUGAAACGGAUGUAAAAAUGAUUGGAUGAAAAAUCCCCCCCGUGGCCGGCAGUCUGAAUAAAGGCUGUGAAGUCGUGUCAACAUGGUUUCAGUUAUCCUGCAGGAAAGUAAGACUUUAACUUUUUAUUUGAUACAUCAAAGCGUGAAGGUAUGCAAGAGGGACUACUUUUACACACAUGUAGACUAUUGUACUGAUGUUUCAAGUAUAUUUUUUUUGUCUCUAACCACAAGAUCAGAUGUUUUCUGAUAGUGAGUGAGGGUUUUUUUCCAGAGACAGCAAAUGUUUUUAAUAUAUUGAUCAUUUUUGAGCCAUUUUAGUUCACAAUGGAGAGAUCUGAUGAAACUAAAAUAAUAAUUUUAGUCAAUUUUAGUCCAUGGAAUAGGCUGGAAAAUCAUGGGGAGACCUUUGCCUGUUCACAUUUCUCUCUGGUGUGAUAUCACACCCCCAUUGUGCCAAUGAGUUUAAUCAAAGGAUGAAAACUAACAUUUUGUACCCGAAAAACUAUUGAGUAUGGAUGCAGUCAUUUUGUAAAUGAUUCUGAAAAAAAAAACCUUUAAAAAUACAAGAUAAAUAAUUGGUUCUCUUAUAUUUUUUUUUAUUUUUUACAUACAGAAUAAUUAGCUAGUUCAGUUACAGAGCCAAUGCAUAACACCACCCACCUCAAAGUGCUUUAUAUCAUCAGCUAGGCCAUACAAUACCAGAGAGAAGUCCAAAAAUCACUCCCAUUUAAUAGGAAGAACCAUUCAGCAGAACCAAGCUCUUAGG